Molecule: ribosomal RNA, 700 nt
Filed under: uncultured bacterium
Lineage: Bacteria
Description: bacterial SSU rRNA
Rfam family: Bacterial small subunit ribosomal RNA
Source: RNAcentral
GCAGUCGAGCGACGCCCUCCUUUCGGGGAGGUGACGGAGCGGCGAACGGGUGAGUAACACGUGGGCAACCUGCCCCUAGCUCUGGGAUAACACCGGGAAACCGGUGCUAAUACCGGAUAUGACCUCGGAGGGCAUUUUCUGAGGUGGAAAGUUUUUCGGCUAGGGAUGGGCCCGCGGCCUAUCAGCUUGUUGGUGGGGUAACGGCCUACCGAGGCGACGAUCCGUAGCUGGUCUGAGAGGAUGAUCAGCCACACUGGGACUGAGACACGGCCCAGACUCCUACGGGAGGCAGCAGUGGGGAAUAUUGGACAAUGGGGGCAACCCUGAUCCAGCAAUGCCGCGUGUGUGAAGAAGGCCUUCGGGUUGUAAAGCACUUUUAUCCGGAACGAAACGCGCAGGGUGAAUAGCCUUGCGAACUGACGGUACCGGAGGAAUAAGCACCGGCUAACUUCGUGCCAGCAGCCGCGGUAAUACGAAGGGUGCAAGCGUUACUCGGAAUUACUGGGCGUAAAGGGUGCGUAGGUGGUUGUUUAAGUCUGCUGUGAAAGCCCCGGGCUCAACCUGGGAAUGGCAGUGGAUACUGGACAGCUAGAGUGCGGUAGAGGGUAGUGGAAUUCCCGGUGUAGCAGUGAAAUGCGUAGAGAUCGGGAGGAACACCAGUGGCGAAGGCGGCUACCUGGACCAGCACUGACACUGAAGC